This is a long non-coding RNA of Hippoglossus stenolepis (Pacific halibut), 495 nucleotides long. RefSeq lists it as uncharacterized. Lineage: Eukaryota; Metazoa; Chordata; Actinopteri; Pleuronectiformes; Pleuronectidae. The record is from RefSeq and is a predicted model, not a curated record. The transcript has 4 exons.
GAGACGCGGACUUCCUGUUAUGAAUGUGUUUUAGCGCCCCUCCGAAGAGGCACGAGCUCUCACGGUGUUUAGGGAAGUUUCAAACAAACCUGGAAACAUCAGUUAAAGUCUCGACCAUCUUCCGGGGGACAUGCUCCACAAAGCCUUGGGUGGGUGGCAGCUCGUGGACCUAAAUCCCAUGAAAACAUAUUGUUGUGGAUACUGACGGAAGUUUGCCGGCUCUGGUUUCGCCUUCUCUGGCUCUUGUCCCUCGUGUUUUCAGCGGCAUCGCUGCUGCGCUUCAACCGCGACUCCAUUGUUUGAGUUUUCAAGGCGGCAGUGAUGACAGGUGACGACAGGUGGUGACAGAUGAUGACAGCUCUGAAGCAAACAUCUCCGCAGGAGCAGAGUGGGAGCUGUCGCUCUCUGUGGGUUGGGAACAUUGCAGUAGAAGUUACAGAGAAAGACCUCUGGGAUCUCUUCAAAACGUUUGGUGAGAUAGAGAGCAUCGAGUUC